GGUUUGAUCCUGGCUCAGAUUGAACGCUGGCGGGAUGCUUUACACAUGCAAGUCGAGCAGCACGGACUUCGGUCUGGUGGCGAGUGGCGAACGGGUGAGUAAUGUAUCGGAACGUGCCUAGUAGCGGGGGAUAACUACGCGAAAGCGUAGCUAAUACCCGCAUACGCCCUUCGGGGGAAAGCGGGGGACCUUCGGGCCUCGCACUAUUAGAGCGGCCGAUAUCGGAUUAGCUAGUUGGUGGGGUAACGGCUCACCAAGGCGACGAUCCGUAGCUAGUUUGAGAGGACGACCAGCCACACUGGGACUGAGACACGGCCCAGACUCCUACGGGAGGCAGCAGUGGGGAAUUUUGGACAAUGGAAACCUGAUCCAGCCAUCCCGCGUGUGCGAUAAGCCUUCAGGUUGUAAAGCACUUUUGGCAGGAAAGAAACGGCACGGGAUAAUACCCCGUGCAACUGACAGUACCUGCAGAAUAAGCACCGGCUAACUACGUUGGCAACCCGCGGUAAUACGUAGGGUGCAAGCGUUAAUCGGAGUUACUGGGCGUAAAGCGUGCGCAGGCGGUUCGGAAGAAGAUGUGAAAUCCCGGAAACGCUUUGGAACUGCAUUUUAACUACCGAGCUAGAGUGUGUCAGAGGGAGGUGGAAUUCCGCGUGUAGCAGUGAAAUGCGUAGAUAUGCGGAGGAACACCGAUGGCGAAGGCAGCCUCCUGGGAUAACACUGACGCUCAUGCACGAAAGCGUGGGAGCAAACAGGAUUAGAUACACCUGGUAGUCCACGCCCUAAACGAUGUCAACUAGCUGUUGGGGCCUUCGGGCCUUGGUAGCGCAGCUAACGCGUGAAGUUGACCGCCUGCCGGGAAGUACGGUCGCAAGAUUAAAACUCAAAGGAAUUGACGGGGACCCGCACAAGCGGUGGAUGAUGUGGAUUAAUUCGAUGCAACGCGAAAACCUUACCUACCCUUGACAUGUCUGGAAUCCCGAAGAGAUUUAGGGGUGCUCGCAAGAGAACCGGAACACAGGUGCUGCAUGGCUGUCGUCAAAGCUCGUGUCUGAGAUGUUGGGUUAAGUCCCGCAACGAGCGCAACCCUUGUCAUUAGUUGCUACGAAAGAGGGCACUCUAAUGAGACUGCCGGUGACAAACCGGAGGAAGGUGAGGAUGACGUCAGAGUCCUCAUGACCCUUAUGGGUAGGGCUUCACACGUCAUACAAUGGUCGGGACAGAGGGUCGCCAACCCGCGAGGGGGAGCCAAUCCCAGAAACCCGAUCGUAGUCCGGAUCGCAGUCUGCAACUCGACUGCGUGAAGUCGGAAUCGCUAUUAAUCGCGGAUCAGCAUGUCGCGGUGAAUGCGUUCAGGUCUUGUACACACCGCCCGUCACACCAUGGGAGUGGGUUUUACCGGUAAGUUAGCCUAACCGUAAGGAGGGCGAUUACCACGGUAGGAUUCAUGGCUGAGUUGUGAAGUCGUAACAAGGUAG
This 1478-nucleotide ribosomal RNA is filed under the name uncultured Bordetella sp. Its description in RNAcentral is "partial 16S-23S ribosomal RNA intergenic spacer". It matches the Rfam family "Bacterial small subunit ribosomal RNA". The record is from RNAcentral. Lineage: Bacteria; Pseudomonadati; Pseudomonadota; Betaproteobacteria; Burkholderiales; Alcaligenaceae.